GGCGUGCCUAAUACAUGCAAGUCGAACGCACAGCGAAAGGUGCUUGCACCUUUCAAGUGAGUGGCGAACGGGUGAGUAACACGUGGACAACCUGCCUCAAGGCUGGGGAUAACAUUUGGAAACAGAUGCUAAUACCGAAUAAAACUUAGUGUCGCAUGACACAAAGUUAAAAGGCGCUUCGGCGUCACCUAGAGAUGGAUCCGCGGUGCAUUAGUUAGUUGGUGGGGUAAAGGCCUACCAAGACAAUGAUGCAUAGCCGAGUUGAGAGACUGAUCGGCCACAUUGGGACUGAGACACGGCCCAAACUCCUACGGGAGGCUGCAGUAGGGAAUCUUCCACAAUGGGCGAAAGCCUGAUGGAGCAACGCCGCGUGUGUGAUGAAGGCUUUCGGGUCGUAAAGCACUGUUGUAUGGGAAGAACAGCUAGAAUAGGAAAUGAUUUUAGUUUGACGGUACCAUACCAGAAAGGGACGGCUAAAUACGUGCCAGCAGCCGCGGUAAUACGUAUGUCCCGAGCGUUAUCCGGAUUUAUUGGGCGUAAAGCGAGCGCAGACGGUUUAUUAAGUCUGAUGUGAAAGCCCGGAGCUCAACUCCGGAAUGGCAUUGGAAACUGGUUAACUUGAGUGCAGUAGAGGUAAGUGGAACUCCAUGUGUAGCGGUGGAAUGCGUAGAUAUAUGGAAGAACACCAGUGGCGAAGGCGGCUUACUGGACUGCAACUGACGUUGAGGCUC
RNAcentral lists this ribosomal RNA (731 nucleotides) under Leuconostoc mesenteroides. RNAcentral describes it as "bacterial SSU rRNA". It matches the Rfam family "Bacterial small subunit ribosomal RNA", at positions 41 to 754 of the family's 1533-position model. Lineage: Bacteria; Bacillati; Bacillota; Bacilli; Lactobacillales; Lactobacillaceae. The record is from RNAcentral.